Molecule: ribosomal RNA, 497 nt
Filed under: uncultured bacterium
Lineage: Bacteria
Description: partial 16S ribosomal RNA
Rfam family: Bacterial small subunit ribosomal RNA
Source: RNAcentral
GAUGAACGCUGGCGGCGUGCCUAAUACAUGCAAGUCGAGCGAACAGACGAGGAGCUUGCUCCUCUGACGUUAGCGGCGGACGGGUGAGUAACACGUGGAUAACCUACCUAUAAGACUGGGAUAACUUCGGGAAACCGGAGCUAAUACCGGAUAAUAUAUUGAACCGCAUGGUUCAAUAGUGAAAGACGGUUUUGCUGUCACUUAUAGAUGGAUCCGCGCCGCAUUAGCUAGUUGGUAAGGUAACGGCUUACCAAGGCAACGAUGCGUAGCCGACCUGAGAGGGUGAUCGGCCACACUGGAACUGAGACACGGUCCAGACUCCUACGGGAGGCAGCAGUAGGGAAUCUUCCGCAAUGGGCGAAAGCCUGACGGAGCAACGCCGCGUGAGUGAUGAAGGUCUUCGGAUCGUAAAACUCUGUUAUUAGGGAAGAACAAAUGUGUAAGUAACUAUGCACGUCUUAACGGUACCUAAUCAGAAAGCCACGGCUAACUACGUG